AUUGAACGCUGGCGGCAGGCCUAACACAUGCAAGUCGAGCGGAGCGGCGGACGGGUGAGUAAUGCCUAGGAAUCUGCCUGGUAGUUGGGGAUAACGUCCGGAAACGGGCGCUAAUGCCGCAUCCUCUCAGUCUAGUCUAGGUCGGAUUAGCUAGUUGGUGGUGUAAAGGCCUACCAAGGCGACGAUCCGUCACUGGUCUGAGAGGAUGAUCAGUCACACUGGAACUGAGACACGGUCCAGACUCCUACGGGAGGCAGCAGUGGGGAAUAUUGGACAAUGGGCGAAAGCCUGAUCCAGCCAUGCCGCGUGUGUGAAGAAGGUCUUCGGAUUGUAAAGCACUUUAAGUUGGGAGGCGUUACCAACAGAAUAAGCACCGGCUAACUUCGUGCCAGCAGCCGCGGUAAUUC
This 407-nucleotide ribosomal RNA is filed under the name uncultured bacterium. RNAcentral's name for it is "partial 16S ribosomal RNA". It matches the Rfam family "Bacterial small subunit ribosomal RNA", at positions 30 to 526 of the family's 1533-position model. The record is from RNAcentral.